This 86-nucleotide transfer RNA is filed under the name Ignavibacteria bacterium. Its description in RNAcentral is "tRNA-Leu". It matches the Rfam family "tRNA". Rfam says of the family: Transfer RNA (tRNA) molecules are approximately 80 nucleotides in length. Their secondary structure includes four short double-helical elements and three loops (D, anti-codon, and T loops). Lineage: Bacteria; Pseudomonadati; Ignavibacteriota; Ignavibacteria. The record is from RNAcentral.
GCGGAAGUGGCGAAACUGGCAGACGCACCAUCUUGAGGGGGUGGCGCCCUACGGGCAUGCGGGUUCAAGUCCCGCCUUCCGCACAA